AUACGAAAGACCUUGCGUCUUUUGGAGCGGCCGAUGUCUGAUUAGCUAGUUGGUGGGGUAAGGGCCUACCAAGGCGACGAUCAGUAGUUGGUCUGAGAGGACGACCAGCCACACUGGGACUGAGACACGGCCCAGACUCCUACGGGAGGCAGCAGUGGGGAAUUUUGCACAAUGGGCGCAAGCCUGAUCCAGCAAUGCCGCGUGAGUGAAGAAGGCCUUCGGGUUGUAAAGCUCUUUCAGUCGAGAAGAAAAGGCUGCAGUGAAUAACUGUAGUUUAUGACGGUAUCGACAGAAGAAGCACCGGCUAACUACGUG
This 315-nucleotide ribosomal RNA is filed under the name uncultured bacterium. Its description in RNAcentral is "bacterial SSU rRNA". It matches the Rfam family "Bacterial small subunit ribosomal RNA", at positions 198 to 507 of the family's 1533-position model. The record is from RNAcentral.